UACGAAGGGGGCUAGCGUUGUUCGGAAUCACUGGGCGUAAAGCGCACGUAGGCGGACCUUUAAGUCAGGGGUGAAAGCCUGGAGCUCAACUCCAGAACUGCCUUUGAUACUGGAGGUCUCGAGUGUGGAAGAGGUUGGUUGAACUGCGAGUGUAGAGGUGAAAUUCGUAGAUAUUCGCAAGAACACCAGUGGCGAAGGCGGCCAACUGGUCCAUUACUGACGCUGAGGCACGAAAGCGUGGGGAGCAAACGGG
This 253-nucleotide ribosomal RNA is filed under the name uncultured bacterium. Its description in RNAcentral is "partial 16S ribosomal RNA". It matches the Rfam family "Bacterial small subunit ribosomal RNA", at positions 524 to 776 of the family's 1533-position model. The record is from RNAcentral.